CGCACGAUCACUCGAACAGUUGCUGUUCAAGAUUCAUUUAUAGCUUGAUGUUGCUGUGUAAUAAAUAAACAUGAAGUACCUUAAAAUCGUAAUUUAUUUAAUAGCACGUGAUAUAUAUUAAAGAAUUCGUUCCAUUGAUGUAAUUGGUGAAAAUUUAGUGUAUCUUCGGGGUGGAAUUGGCUUAAACGUUUUCAAGGAGCUAUCAGGAAGUUUUGUGAAGGAUUUUGCAGAAGUAAUAUCUACAUUCUGUUAUUAAAUUUUUUGUCAGUCGUGGACUGCGAAACAAAAAAGGCUCCCAGAAUAUCAUAAUUUAGUCAGGACAAAUGAGUGACCAAAUUGGGAUUUAUUCAGUAAAACCAAAGAUGGCAAUGUAUUUCAAGAAACUAAUUGAAAAUUUUGUUAAGGAUUUCACAGAAGCAUGAUGCUGAACUUAAGUUUUAUGUAAACCCACAAAUCAAGUAACUAAGGUACCAUCUGUUCCGAAAAAUAUGGAUUGUUUAUGACAUGAUUUUCUACAGUCAUUAUCACAAGAUUUAAUUUACGAAAUCAGCCGAAGGAAGCAACAGAAUAAUAUCAGAUAUUCGACAAUUCUGCAACACAACAUAUAUUUACAAUUAUAUUGUGGAUAAAAUAAUUCACAUGUCCUAUAAGUUACUUAAAAUAGGUAAUAUUUUAAGUAACAUAGCAAAAACUAUUUAUUUAGCUGAUUUAUUGUUGUCAAUAAUAAGGUUUAUAACCUGCUGCUCCAUGAACAUUGGGACUGUUUAUUUGACUUACAAAUAUUCAUUAUGGAAGGUGUAGGCCAGUCCUUCAUCUCUUUUUAAACAGCAAAUAAUUUCAAUAUCCUGAACUAGUGAUAAAGGAUGUCAUAACUAAUUUGUCAUAAGCAUAGGACAAAAUUAGAGUGACUUUCAUUUUUGUGAAAACUUCUUUGGCCGCGUUGGGCACUUUUUGGUAGAGGAAUUCACAAUAGGGUAGCAUGACAUCUAAUGUGUUACGAUACACAAAACGACCCAAUGUACUUCUUUCCAAGGAUCAGGCCAUCUCGUAAUCGGAUAAACGACCUCAAAUAAUAAUAUUGCCAUGUCUAACAGUUGUAACAUAUUUUGGAUAAAUUCCACUGUUUUUAGGACGUUGAAUAAACUGUCCACCAUAAUUUCCGAAAAUGAUAAAUUUUGAUUUGUUCAAAAAUAGUACUUUUUUCCAACCUUUUGCUGCCUCUCCAAUUCCGAUACCUGAGCAAAAGGAAGUCUUGCUCCUCGAUUGUUUUUUGAAAGAGUAUUUCACAGGACAUCUUUCUGACAGCUUUACCUCGCACAAAUGGAGGCUGAAUUGUCCUCGAAUUAAUUGAUUGCUCUUCUAAAUCUCUUAAAAUUUAAGUUACAGCCGUUGUUGAAUUAUUUUUAAUAAGCAUUUUUAUGUGAAACCUUUUAAUUCUUUUUGAUAUCACUUGUUUUGAUACGAGAAACCAACAGUUCAUAACUUUUUGCGAUGUUCCCGAAUUAUUGCUACAAUAAUUCAAUUUUUUACUUUCGCCGACAGACGGCACCCGCUUUCUACAUAUUUUGUUAAUAUCUCUGGUUUAUUUUUCAUUGAUACCUUUUCAUCGAUCCAUUUUCGUACUUGUUCGAUUAUAUUGAAGCGUUGCUCAGCCAGUGCAUGUUCCAUCGAAAAGAAGAAGUGGUAAUCAGGUCUGAUGAAUACCUCGAAUGGGGUUGAAAUUCUCAAUUAACCGAAGAAAUCGUUUCUUUGAUUCUGAUUUAAAUAUUUUAUUAUAACUAACAAUUUUAAGGUUUCUUAAUCUUCUAUAUUUUGGUGUACGCAUUCAACUUUUUUAUUGCAAAAUUUUAUUUCUAGAUCACUACGAAUUACAAUUUUGGUAAUUCUUACGAAUUUUUUUUUAAUUUCAUUCUGGGAAUUGAGUCACUUCUCACGUAUGUUCAGUUAAUACAUAUGUCAAUAAUAUAAAUAGUAGACUAUUUAGAAAUACCCACGUUAUACCACAGAACACACAAAAAGUACCAAACUCCUACUAAACAUGGGAAACAACAGUGGACGAAAAAUUGAUUUGUAGUGUUUAAAUUCUUCAAUAGAUGUCAGCUUUAUAGUUUCCUGUAUUUGACAUUUGACAAAAUUGACGGGAAUAGUUUCAAAUUCAAGAAUUUAAACUACUUUGGAAACGAAGAUCAUAACGUAAAUUAACUGAAUGACUGUAACAUUGAUUAACUGAACCAUCGGAAUUGUUAGAGUGAUUACUAAGUUGAAAUGAAACAUUUUAACAAAAUAUUUGAGGCAAUUAUAAUAUUCUGAUUAGAAAUAGAUUCAGAAAUAGGGGAAAGACUACAAAAUUGAGCCUACAAACAGAGGGAUUUUAUAAUAUAACUGUUUUGGUUGAACAUUAUGAAUUUUUCUUGUUAUAGAGAAACCUGAUGUGGCAAAAUGGUUUUCGCAGACAUUAUAUAUUUUGAUAGAAGGAUUAAUAAUAAAAACUGAACGCCAUACUAAAUUUAAUUUUGAAUGGGAUGGUGACUUAAAAAAAUAUUUUUAAAAUUAGUAUUAUGAACAUCACUAAAAUAUGUAUUGAAAUACAAAUUUUGUCGUAGUAACCUGAUAGAUGCUAAGGGUGAGAACUCUAGGUUCAAUUUUAUAAAAUGAUAAAAUAAAAUCACAAAAAAAUUACUAUAGUGCAUCUCUGAGAUAAAUUAAUUUAUUGAAACUUUAUCAUAUUCCUUAAAAGAUAUAAAAUAUAUUUUUUGGUUUCAUUUUCUGAGAAAAGGGCCUCAUGGCAUGAGUCUCAAUUUGGAAUUUGAAUUUUAUUAAAUAAAUACCCUGCAACAUAAGAGGCACCUUGAAGUGAACUAGAAUCGUUAAUAUAUUUUUUAACUACAUUGAAAUCAGAUUCGAAAAUGGAAACGUCUAAUGUCGUCAAAUUUACGGAAUUGGAAAAAAAUUUUGAAAAUGCCCCUAAAAACUUGCCACCAUCAUCUUUUAAAUUUCUCUUGACAAAUGGAGAAACUUAAUUUUGUUGACAACGACAGUCUUUAAUGCUGCGAUGAAUUGGUGACAUGUUUGAUUGAUAUUGAGAAAGCCAUGCUGGCGUAUUUAACAAAAUAAAUUUUCUAUGGCGUCUUGAUUAAGAAACCUCAUGGCCUUCAUUUUUUAACCCGCGCCAUAGUGAAGCAACAGACGUAAAUGUAGUUAUUCGGCCUUUUAAAAAUGAA
This is a long non-coding RNA of Aethina tumida (small hive beetle), 3221 nucleotides long. RefSeq lists it as uncharacterized. NCBI's taxonomy places the organism in Eukaryota, Metazoa, Arthropoda, Insecta, Coleoptera, Nitidulidae. The transcript is spliced from 5 exons. The record is from RefSeq and is a predicted model, not a curated record.